Molecule: transfer RNA, 72 nt
Filed under: Camelus bactrianus (Bactrian camel)
Lineage: Eukaryota; Metazoa; Chordata; Mammalia; Artiodactyla; Camelidae
Also listed under: 2 other names
Rfam family: tRNA
About the family: Transfer RNA (tRNA) molecules are approximately 80 nucleotides in length. Their secondary structure includes four short double-helical elements and three loops (D, anti-codon, and T loops).
Source: Rfam by way of RNAcentral
GAGGGUGUAGCUCAGAGGUAGAGCACAUGCUUAGCACACACGAGGUCCUGGGUUCAAUCUCCAGUAUCUCCA